RNAcentral lists this ribosomal RNA (462 nucleotides) under uncultured bacterium. RNAcentral describes it as "partial 16S ribosomal RNA". It matches the Rfam family "Bacterial small subunit ribosomal RNA", at positions 29 to 507 of the family's 1533-position model. The record is from RNAcentral.
AGUGAACGCUGGCGGCGUGCCUAAUACAUGCAAGUCGAACGAACGAAUAAGAGCUUGCUCUUAUAAGUUAGUGGCGCACGGGUGAGUAAUAUAUAGCUAAUCUGCCUCUUAGUAGAGGAUAACAGUCGGAAACGAUUGCUAAUACUCUAUACUUCUGCUUUACAUAAGUAAAGUAGAGAAAGUUUUUCGCUAAGAGAUGAGGCUAUACUGUAUCAGCUAGUUGGUAAGGUAACGGCUUACCAAGGCUAUGACGCAUAACUGGUCUGAGAGGAUGAUCAGUCACAUUGGAACUGAGACACGGUCCAAACUCCUACGGGAGGCAGCAGUAGGGAAUAUUGCGCAAUGGGGGAAACCCUGACGCAGCAACGCCGCGUGGAGGAGGACACUUUUCGGAGCGUAAACUCCUUUUAUCGGGAAAGAAUAAUGACGGUACCCGAUGAAUAAGCACCGGCUAACUCCGUG